AGUGAACGCUGGCGGUAGGCCUAACACAUGCAAGUCGAACGGCAGCACAGUAAGAGCUUGCUCUUACGGGUGGCGAGUGGCGGACGGGUGAGGAAUACAUCGGAAUCUACUUUUUCGUGGGGGAUAACGUAGGGAAACUUACGCUAAUACCGCAUACGACCUACGGGUGAAAGCAGGGGAUCUUCGGACCUUGCGCGAUUGAAUGAGCCGAUGUCGGAUUAGCUAGUUGGCGGGGUAAAGGCCCACCAAGGCGACGAUCCGUAGCUGGUCUGAGAGGAUGAUCGGCCACACUGGAACUGAGACACGGUCCAGACUCCUACGGGAGGCAGCAGUGGGGAAUAUUGGACAAUGGGCGCAAGCCUGAUGCAGCCAUACCGCGUGAGUGAAGAAGGCCUUCGGAUUGUAAAACCCUUUUAUUGGGGAAGAAAAGCAGCAGGUGAAAACCCCGCUGUUCUGACGGUACCCAAAGAAUAAGCACCGGCUAACUUCGUG
This 492-nucleotide ribosomal RNA is filed under the name uncultured bacterium. RNAcentral describes it as "partial 16S ribosomal RNA". It matches the Rfam family "Bacterial small subunit ribosomal RNA", at positions 29 to 507 of the family's 1533-position model. The record is from RNAcentral.